RNAcentral lists this long non-coding RNA (219 nucleotides) under Elaeis guineensis (African oil palm). RNAcentral's name for it is "long non-coding RNA (EGUI_LNC069530)". The record is from RNAcentral. Lineage: Eukaryota; Viridiplantae; Streptophyta; Magnoliopsida; Arecales; Arecaceae.
AAUUGAUAAAACAUAGUAAUUUGAAACAUUUGGCACAUAGAAUUGAUUGAAAUUAAAUUUAAGUACCAAUUGAAACUAUGUUUGAUGAAACAUGAAAAAUGCUAAUUUGAACCAAAUUAUAACCCUAAAUUAUUAAUUUGAAACUUAUGGCACAUAGUAAGGGGGAGAAUCGCAAAUUUUGAUAAAAUUGAAAUUGAAUUGAGCAUAAUUCUCAUACUC